AUUAGACGAAUCAUCUGGAAAGAUGAAUCAAAGAAGGUAAUAAUCCUGUAGUCGAAAAUGUUGUCUCUCUUGAGUGGAUCCUGAGUACGACGGAGCACGUGAAAUUCCGUCGGAAUCUGGGAGGACCAUCUCCUAAGGCUAAAUACUCUCUAGUGACCGAUAGUGAACCAGUACCGUGAGGGAAAGGUGAAAAGCACCCCGGAAGGGGAGUGAAAUAGAACCUGAAACCGUGUGCUUACAAGUAGUCAGAGCCCGUUAAUGGGUGAUGGCGUGCCUUUUGUAGAAUGAACCGGCGAGUUACGAUUUGAUGCAAGGUUAAGCAGUAAAUGUGGAGCCGUAGCGAAAGCGAGUCUGAAUAGGGCGUUUAGUAUUUGGUCGUAGACCCGAAACCAGGUGAUCUACCCUUGGUCAGGUUGAAGUUCAGGUAACACUGAAUGGAGGACCGAACCGACUUACGUUGAAAAGUGAGCGGAUGAACUGAGGGUAGCGGAGAAAUUCCAAUCGAACCUGGAGAUAGCUGGUUCUCUCCGAAAUAGCUUUAGGGCUAGCCUCAAGUGAUGAUUAUUGGAGGUAGAGCACUGUUUGGACGAGGGGCCCCUCUCGGGUUACCGAAUUCAGACAAACUCCGAAUGCCAAUUAAUUUAACUUGGGAGUCAGAACAUGGGUGAUAAGGUCCGUGUUCGAAAGGGAAACAGCCCAGACCACCAGCUAAGGUCCCAAAAUAUAUGUUAAGUGGAAAAGGAUGUGGCGUUGCCCAGACAACUAGGAUGUUGGCUUAGAAGCAGCCAUCAUUUAAAGAGU
This 801-nucleotide ribosomal RNA is filed under the name Staphylococcus aureus. RNAcentral describes it as "partial 23S ribosomal RNA". It matches the Rfam family "Bacterial large subunit ribosomal RNA", at positions 328 to 1131 of the family's 2925-position model. The record is from RNAcentral. Lineage: Bacteria; Bacillati; Bacillota; Bacilli; Caryophanales; Staphylococcaceae.